AAGUCGUAACAAGGUUUCUGUAGUGGAACGUUCGGUAAUGAAGUAUCCUUCAAUGAAGCCUUGUAGUCUGAGUCAACAAAUGUUGGCAACACCGUCCCUGUGCUUGGAUGUUAUAAAUAGACAACCAGCAGCUCUGAUAUCAGAGUCCACAGGUCAAACGACAGUGGUCCAGAAAUCUUUUGUUUUGUCUUUUAAGUUAACUGAACAGAAUAGUAGAAAGAUGGAUUAAAAUAUGAUCGGCCUUCUCUUGAAAAGGAGACAGACUUUGUGUUCCGUAGGUGAACCUGCGGAAGGAUCAUUACUGAGAACUUGCCCUUUUGGGUAGAUCUCCCACCCUAUGUUUUCAUACUUUGUUGCUUUGGCAGGCCUGCAUCUGUGCUACUGGCCUUGGCUAGUUAGUGCCUGCCAGAGAACCAACACUCUGAAUCAUUUAUUGUCUGAGUAUUAUUUAAUAGUUAAAACUUUCAACAACGGAUCUCUUGGUUCUGGCAUCGAUGAAGAACGCAGCGAAAUGCGAUAAGUAAUGUGAAUUGCAGAAUUCAGUGAAUCAUCGAAUCUUUGAACGCACAUUGCGCCCUCUGGUAUUCCGGGGGGCAUGCCUGUUCGAGCGUCAUUACAACCCUCAAGCUCUGCUUGGUAUUGGGUGUCACUGUCUGUGCACCUUAAAAUCAGUGGCGGUGCCAUCUGGCUUCUAGCGUAGUAAUACUUCCCGCUAUGGAGUUUUGGUGUAUGCUUGCCAUCAACCCCUAAUUUUUAAAGGUUGACCUCGGAUCAGGUAGGGAUACCCGCUGAACUUAAGCAUAUCAAUAAGCGGAGGAAAAGAAACCAACAGGGAUUGCCUUAGUAACGGCGAGUGAAGCGGCAACAGCUCAAAUUUGAAAUCUGGCGUAUGCCCGAAUUGUAAUUUGUAGAGGAUGUUUCGAAUGCGGUCUAGUCUAAGUUCCUUGGAACAGGACGUCAUAGAGGGUGAGAAUCCCGUAUGUGACUGGGUGCCAAUUUCAUGUGAAACUCCUUCGACGAGUCGAGUUGUUUGGGAAUGCAGCUCAAAAUGGGUGGUAAAUUUCAUCUAAAGCUAAAUACUGGCCAGAGACCGAUAGCGCACAAGUAGAGUGAUCGAAAGAUGAAAAGCACUUUGGAAAGAGAGUUAAACAGUACGUGAAAUUGUUGAAAGGGAAGCGCUUGCAAUCAGACUUGCAUGCAGUUGAUCAUCCGAUGUUCUCACCGGUGCACUCAGUUGUAUACAGGCCAGCAUCGGUUUUGGUGGUUGGAUAAAGGCCCAAGGAAUGUGGCUUCUUUCGGGGAGUGUUAUAGCCUUGGGUGUAAUGCAGCCUACUGGGACCGAGGACCGCGCUUCGGCUAGGAUGCUGGCGUAAUGGUUGCAAGCGAC
This 1387-nucleotide ribosomal RNA is filed under the name uncultured fungus. Its description in RNAcentral is "eukaryotic LSU rRNA". The stretch from base 762 to 1387 matches the Rfam family "Eukaryotic large subunit ribosomal RNA", at positions 1 to 648 of the family's 3401-position model. The record is from RNAcentral. Lineage: Eukaryota; Fungi.